RNAcentral lists this ribosomal RNA (329 nucleotides) under uncultured eukaryote. RNAcentral describes it as "partial 18S ribosomal RNA". It matches the Rfam family "Eukaryotic small subunit ribosomal RNA", at positions 1470 to 1796 of the family's 1831-position model. The record is from RNAcentral.
CCCUUAGAUGUUCUGGGCCGCACGCGCGCUACACUGAUGCAUUCAACGAGUCUAAAACCUGCUCUGAUAGGGGUGGGUAAUCUUUUGAAUGUGCAUCGUGAUUGGGAUAGAUGAUUGCAAUUUUUCAUCUUCAACGAGGAAUGCCUAGUAAACGCAAGUCAUCAGCCUGCAUUGAUUACGUCCCUGCCCUUUGUACACACCGCCCGUCGCUCCUACCGAUUGAAUGAUCCGAUGAAUAUCAUGGAUUGAGGAUGCAAGUAGGUUAGCCUAUCUUCAUCUUCGAGAAGUGAAGUAAAUCUUAUCAUUUAGAGGAAGGAGAAGUCGUAACA